RNAcentral lists this unclassified non-coding RNA (253 nucleotides) under uncultured Gammaproteobacteria bacterium. RNAcentral describes it as "contains 16S-23S intergenic spacer region". It matches the Rfam family "Bacterial small subunit ribosomal RNA", at positions 524 to 776 of the family's 1533-position model. Lineage: Bacteria; Pseudomonadati; Pseudomonadota; Gammaproteobacteria. The record is from RNAcentral.
UACAGAGGGUGCAAGCGUUACUCGGAGUUACUGGGCGUAAAGGGCGCGUAGGCGGUUUUGUAAGUAAGGUGUGAAAUCCCUGGGCUUAACCUAGGAAUGGCAUUUUAGACUACAAGGCUAGAGGACAGUAGAGGGUGGUGGAAUUUCCGGUGUAGCGGUGAAAUGCGUAGAGAUCGGAAGGAACAUCAGUGGCGAAGGCGACCACCUGGACUGUAACUGACGCUGAGGCGCGAAAGCGUGGGGAUCAAACAGG